GCAUCCUACGGGAGGCAGCAGUGGGGGAUAUUGCACAAUGGGGGAAACCCUGAUGCAGCGACGCCGCGUGUAGGAAGACGGUCCUCUGGAUUGUAAACUACUGUCCCCAGGGACGAAGAUGACGGUACCUGGGGAGGAAGCUCCGGCUAACUACGUGCCAGCAGCCGCGGUAAUACGUAGGGAGCGAGCGUUGUCCGGAAUUACUGGGUGUAAAGGGAGCGUAGGCGGGGAUGCAAGUUGGGUGUUAAAUCUACCGGCUCAACUGGGAGCC
RNAcentral lists this ribosomal RNA (271 nucleotides) under uncultured bacterium. RNAcentral describes it as "partial 16S ribosomal RNA". It matches the Rfam family "Bacterial small subunit ribosomal RNA", at positions 334 to 621 of the family's 1533-position model. The record is from RNAcentral.